Molecule: long non-coding RNA, 1281 nt
Organism: Drosophila montana
Lineage: Eukaryota; Metazoa; Arthropoda; Insecta; Diptera; Drosophilidae
Exons: 4
Source: RefSeq, a predicted model, not a curated record
CGAUAACAAUUGGAAAGUUUUCAAAGCAAACCCAAACAAAAAAAACAGGACGAAAAAGGAAGCAACGCACAGAUAAUAAUAUUAUUUUUUAUAUUUUACAGGACCCACAACGAAAGCUAAGCAAACGUCUAGCUGAACUCAAGCUAAAUUAGCAUGGAUCGCAGAGCAACAACAGCAAACAAAUUCCAAACAAUUGCCCGAAAAUUGUUAUGAAACUCAAACAAAUUGUAAAAUGUUUAUUGCUCAUAUUUCUCUACUGCAAUGACAAUCAAUUCAGUAAAUGGACAAACAAAACGCAACAACAAAAACAACAAAACCAGCUAAAUUCGAAGCGCCUUAAGAAACUGCAGUGUGGCUGCCCGCAGACCAAACCAGCAGCAUUGUGCCCCAAACAAGAGACCAGGCCAGCAAAUCAUACAGAAUUCAGACAAAAAUUGCAAGGAAGGAAACCUAAAUUCAAGUUAGCAACAAUAACAAAAUCAACAUUCGUAAAUAAUGGCACAAAUGCCGCGACGGCGCUGAUGAUGAUGACAAAGACGAAGAUCAAGAGCAUUUGACGGCGAAAGGAGCAGGCAGCAGCAGCCAAUUAUCUAAGGCAGCAGCUAAACUGGGGACACAGUCGCCCCGCCGCAGAUAUUUAGCUGAAUAUAUCUAAGCUGGGGCGGCUGCCCCACAAAAGCAGCAGCACCAGCAGCAACCCCUAGACAGGAAGCCCUUCAAACACACACUCACACGCACACAGACACACAAACGAGCCAAGUUCCUGCGGCGAAUUCAAUACAAGCACAACACACCCAUACAGUUACUGCCAGCAAGAGCGCAGCCAGAGAAAUAUAGAGAGCGAGAGCGAGCGAGCAAGAGAGUGUAAUAACGAGGAGAGCGCAACACGAGAGCACCUUUGACAACCCAAAAAAGCGCGCAACGAAAACCAAAUUUCGCAACCCCGCUCUUUAGAGCAAUCUAAAAUCAAAGAAUUAUUUAAAAGCAAAAUACAAAAUCAAAAAAAAAAUUCUAAUGGAAACCAGUCAAAAGCAGCGAUUUUCCAUUAACAGCCAAAUACGAAAAUAUCAAAAUCUCAAGAAAAUUAUAGCCAUUUAGCAUACUGCGAAUAAUACAAACAAAAAGAAACCCUCUUCUUCCACGGCAUCGCAGAAGCCUUCAUUUCCAACCCCGUACCGAGCACCCCCCCUGUUGACCACCAAAUUUCACACACACAAUGCAAUAGUUUUUCAUUUUGUGUAACAAAACGCAAAUCGAAUAAUGAACAAAAUUUUAAAUUUG